CAAUAGCGUAUAUUAAAGUUGUUGCAGUUAAAAAGCUCGUAGUUGGAUUUCUGGAUGGAGCGACCGGUCGGGCAUUAAUUUGUCUGCACUGGAGUCGGUUCCGUCCAUCCUCUUGGAAAGUGCGUGGGGCAUUAAGUUGUCUGGCGUAUGAUCCAAGUCGUUUACUGUGAAAAAAUUAGAGUGUUUAAAGCAGGCCUUCGCCUUGAAUACAUUAGCAUGGAAUAAUAAGAUAGGACUUUGGUCUACUUUGUUGGUUUGCAGACCGAAGUAAUGAUUAAUAGGGAUAGUUGGGGGUAUUUAUAUUCCGAUGUCAGAGGUGAAAUUCUUAGAUUUUCGGAAGAUAAACUUAUGCGAAAGCAUUUACCAAGGAUGUUUUCAUUAA
This 382-nucleotide ribosomal RNA is filed under the name uncultured eukaryote. RNAcentral describes it as "partial 18S ribosomal RNA". It matches the Rfam family "Eukaryotic small subunit ribosomal RNA", at positions 592 to 976 of the family's 1831-position model. The record is from RNAcentral.